This 274-nucleotide ribosomal RNA is filed under the name uncultured bacterium. RNAcentral describes it as "partial 16S ribosomal RNA". It matches the Rfam family "Bacterial small subunit ribosomal RNA", at positions 523 to 796 of the family's 1533-position model. The record is from RNAcentral.
AUACGGAGGGUGCAAGCGUUGUCCGGAUUUAUUGGGUUUAAAGGGUGCGUAGGUGGCGUGUUAAGUCAUUGGUGAAAGCCUGCAGCUCAACUGUAGAGGUGCCAUUGAUACUGACAUGCUUGAGUAUGGACGAGGUAGGCGGAAUUUGUGGUGUAGCGGUGAAAUGCAUAGAUACCACAAAGAACACCGAUAGCGAAGGCAGCUUACUGGACCAUAACUGACACUGAGGCACGAAAGUGUGGGUAGCGAACAGGAUUAGAAACCCCAGUAGUCC